ACUGUACAGUAGAGUUUGAUCCUGGCUCAGAGCGAACGCUGGCGGCAGGCCUAACACAUGCAAGUCGAACGGCUCUUCGGAGCAGUGGCGGACGGGUGAGUAACACGUGGGAACGUGCCUUUUGGUUCGGAAUAACACAGGGAAACUUGUGCUAAUACCGGAUGAGCCCCCGAUCUUAGCGGAGAGGGUGGGAAAGAUUUAUCGCCGAAAGAGCGGCCCGCGUUAGAUUAGCUAGUUGGUGGGGUAAAGGCCCACCAAGGCUACGAUCUAUAGCUGGUCUGAGAGGAUGAUCAGCCACACUGGGACUGAGACACGGCCCAGACUCCUACGGGAGGCAGCAGUGGGGAAUCUUGCGCAAUGGGCGAAAGCCUGACGCAGCCAUGCCGCGUGAAUGAUGAAGGUCUUAGGAUUGUAAAAUUCUUUUAGCAGGGACGAUAAUGACGGUACCUGCAGAAAAAGCCCCGGCUAACUUCGUGCCAGCCGCCGCGGUAAU
RNAcentral lists this ribosomal RNA (493 nucleotides) under uncultured Asticcacaulis sp. Its description in RNAcentral is "bacterial SSU rRNA". It matches the Rfam family "Bacterial small subunit ribosomal RNA", at positions 1 to 524 of the family's 1533-position model. Lineage: Bacteria; Pseudomonadati; Pseudomonadota; Alphaproteobacteria; Caulobacterales; Caulobacteraceae. The record is from RNAcentral.